RNAcentral lists this ribosomal RNA (590 nucleotides) under Kockovaella sp. 'asplenii'. RNAcentral describes it as "eukaryotic LSU rRNA". It matches the Rfam family "Eukaryotic large subunit ribosomal RNA", at positions 62 to 641 of the family's 3401-position model. Lineage: Eukaryota; Fungi; Basidiomycota; Tremellomycetes; Tremellales; Cuniculitremaceae. The record is from RNAcentral.
AAACUAACAAGGAUUCCCCUAGUAACGGCGAGUGAACAGGGAAGAGCUCAAAUUUGUAAUCUGGCGUCCCUUGGGCGUCCGAGUUGUAAUCUAUAGAAGCGUUUUCCGUGCUGGACCAUGUCCAAGUCCCUUGGAACAGGGUAUCAAAGAGGGUGACAAUCCCGUGCUUGACAUGACGACCAGUGCUCUGUGAUACGCUCUCUACGAGUCGAGUUGUUUGGGAAUGCAGCUCAAAAUGGGUGGUGAGUUCCAUCUAAAGCUAAAUAUUGGCGAGAGACCGAUAGCGAACAAGUACCGUGAGGGAAAGAUGAAAAGCACUUUGGAAAGAGAGUUAAACAGUACGUGAAAUUGUUGAAAGGGAAACGAUUGAAGUCAGUCGUGUCCGAGGGGUUCAGCCGGUCAUGCCGGUGUAUUCCCCUCGGAUGGGUCAAUGUCAGUUUGGACCGGUGGAAAAGGGCGGUUGGAAUGUGGCAGCUCCGGCUGUGUUAUAGCCUUCCGUCGCACACGCCGGUCUAGACUGAGGAAUGCAGCUCGCCUUUAUGGCUGGGGUUCUCCCACAUUCGAGCUUAGGAUGUUGACAUAAUGGCUUU